GUCGAGCGAACUGAUUAGAAGCUUGCUUCUAUGACGUUAGCGGCGGACUAGGUGAGUAACACGUGGGCAACCUGCCUGUAAGACUGGGAUAACUUCGGGAAACCGAAGCUAAUACCGGAUAGGAUCUUCUCCUUCAUGGGAGAUGAUUGAAAGAUGGUUUCGGCUAUCACUUACAGAUGGGCCCGCGGUGCAUUAGCUAGUUGGUGAGGUAACGGCUCACCAAGGCAACGAUGCAUAGCCGACCUGAGAGGGUGAUCGGCCACACUGGGACUGAGACACGGCCCAGACUCCUACGGGAGGCAGCAGUAGGGAAUCUUCCGCAAUGGACGAAAGUCUGACGGAGCAACGCCGCGUGAGUGAUGAAGGCUUUCGGGUCGUAAAACUCUGUUGUUAGGGAAGAACAAGUACGAGAGUAACUGCUCGUACCUUGACGGUACCUAACCAGAAAGCCACGGCUAACUACGUGCCAGCAGCCGCGGUAAUACGUAGGUGGCAAGCGUUAUCCGGAAUUAUUGGGCGUAAAGCGCGCGCAGGCGGUUUCUUAAGUCUGAUGUGAAAGCCCACGGCUCAACCGUGGAGGGUCAUUGGAAACUGGGGAACUUGAGUGCAGAAGAGAAAAGCGGAAUUCCACGUGUAGCGGUGAAAUGCGUAGAGAUGUGGAGGACACCAGUGGCGAACGCGGCUUUUUGGUCUGUAACU
Molecule: ribosomal RNA, 699 nt
Filed under: Bacillus sp. HPB35
Lineage: Bacteria; Bacillati; Bacillota; Bacilli; Caryophanales; Bacillaceae
Description: bacterial SSU rRNA
Rfam family: Bacterial small subunit ribosomal RNA
Source: RNAcentral